This 433-nucleotide ribosomal RNA is filed under the name uncultured bacterium. RNAcentral's name for it is "partial 16S ribosomal RNA". It matches the Rfam family "Bacterial small subunit ribosomal RNA", at positions 29 to 507 of the family's 1533-position model. The record is from RNAcentral.
AACGAACGCUGGCGGCAUGCCUAACACAUGCAAGUCGAACGAGACCUUCGGGUCUAGUGGCGCACGGGUGCGUAACGCGUGGGAACCUGCCCUUAGGUUCGGAAUACCUCCCCGAAAGGGGUGCUAAUACCGGAUAAUUUCUUCGGACCAAAGAUUUAUCGCCUUUGGAUGGGCCCGCGUUGGAUUAGCUAGUUGGUAGGGUAAAAGCCUACCAAGGCGACGAUCCAUAGCUGGUCUGAGAGGAUGAUCAGCCACACUGGGACUGCGACACGGCCCAGACUCCUACGGGAGGCAGCAGUGGGGAAUAUUGGACAAUGGGCGAAAGGCUGAUCCAGCAAGGCCGCGUGAGUGAUGAAGGCCUUAGGGUUGUAAAGCUCUUUUACCCGGGGUGAUAAUGACAGUACCGGGAGAAUAAGCACCGGCUAACUCCGUG